UACGGGCGAAAGCCUAAAACUCAAAAGACUUGACGGUGUCCCAACCCCCCUAGAGGAGCCUGUUCCAUAAUCGACAACCCACGAUACACCUAACCACCCAUAGACCAAACCAGCCUAUAUACCGCCGUCGAACAGCUUACCUUUAAAAGACUAUAAGUAGGCCAAAUAGUAAACACUAAUAAGUCAGGUCAAGGUGUAGCUUAUGGGGUGGA
RNAcentral lists this ribosomal RNA (212 nucleotides) under Pholidobolus argosi. RNAcentral describes it as "Pholidobolus sp. JDaza-2023a partial small subunit ribosomal RNA". Lineage: Eukaryota; Metazoa; Chordata; Lepidosauria; Squamata; Gymnophthalmidae. The record is from RNAcentral.